RNAcentral lists this ribosomal RNA (236 nucleotides) under uncultured Candidatus Saccharibacteria bacterium. RNAcentral's name for it is "partial 16S ribosomal RNA". It matches the Rfam family "Bacterial small subunit ribosomal RNA", at positions 584 to 818 of the family's 1533-position model. The record is from RNAcentral. Lineage: Bacteria; Candidatus Saccharimonadota.
UAAGUAGGUAGUGAGAGCGUUCGGCUCAACCGGAUACACAUUACCUAAACUGCUUUAGCUAGAGGAUGAGAGAGGUUAUUGGAAUUCCCUGUGUAGGAGUGAAAUCCGUAGAUAUGGGGAGGAACACCGAUGGCGUAGGCAGAUAACUGGCUCAUUCCUGACACUAAGGCACGAAAGCGUGGGGAGCAAACAGGAUUAGAUACCCUGGUAGUCCACGCCGUAAACUAUGGAUGCUA